GUCGCAGUCCCUGGAGGUGUUCCAGAACCAUGGAGAUGUGGCACUGAGGAACAUGGAGUACCUUGGCUCUACUCAGCGAGGGACCCAGUGCAUGAUGCAGCAUCCUGGGAGAAGGGGAGCAGGGGGCCAGAAAUGUUUUCCCAGUUUCUGCUCUUUCAGCCUCUGGAGAUGAGUAUUUCGGUUGGGAGGGACUGUGUCAGCAAGAGAGAUGAAGCACGGAGAGAUGAAAUCUCAGCCCUGUACACAGCCUGGCUGCCGUCUGUACCUGGGCCUUGCCGCACCAUCCCUCGAAUGCAAAGCAAUUCAACGAAAAGAGAAAUCACACAUUUCUGACCCAGAAAGAGAGGAAUAUCACAGUCUCUCAGGACACGCGCUGACGGGAGGAUUUCUGGAACCUCAACCUCCACUCAGCUUUUUGGGCAGGAAUGGGCCAACCCAGGCAUGUGCUCACUGCAGAAGAGCCCAGGAGAUGCUGGUGCAAAGGCUCACUGCAAGCACCUGCUGCUUCUGGAGGAGUUCCUGUUGCAAUGCAUGUGCUCAGGAUGAAUAGCCACCAUUCAGAUUUCCUUCAGGAAACACACCCUCGCUCCUGUUCACUAUAAGACAGCUGAGAGCAAGGCCAGUCGUCCGGUCAUCACACAGGGAACUGUACGCAGAAUAAAUCAGCCCACACUCCUCGUCACGAACUCAGUUGCUCUUUGAGACCAUCUCCCAGAGAUGAGGAAGACGUGUUAAUCCAAAUGAAGACGCACAGCCAAGUGUGGAGCAUCCUCUCUGCUCCUUCCCAAGGUAAGUCUGCAGCUGGCGUGGCCUCGGGGCUUCAGCCAGGGCCGUUUUGAGGUGGGAACAGAAGAACAGAGCAGCCAAGGGUUCUCCUGCCACAGCGUGUGCCUGCUCCCACCUGCUUCCUCAGUAAUUAGUGUCGGUGGUGGUGUUAGAAUGCUAUUAUGGGAAGAUUCUGCUGAGAACAGAGCUGAGCUCUCCAUGUGCACUUCCCAGCCUUGGCACUUUGUCCUCUUCCCCCACUCCCACUGCAGCCACUAGAGCAGCUUCCGGGACUCACAGCUGAUUCGGUGCUGUGCUUGAAACAAAGCUGCUAGAGGGUAUUUUAUACCUGAGGGGCCAGAUCCUGCACCUGGGACAGGCAAGGGCCAAAGGAGUGGAAGAGGCUGGCAGCCAUGCCAAGGUAUUGUGGUGAACAGCCUAAAAUUUUGGUGAAAGUGAGCAGCAUGGAAAGCAGAAGGGAACAAAAACUUCAGAUCUUUUCAACAGCCAUGCCCUGCCCAUUGUCCUUGAUGGGGCAAUAACGUGAGGAAAGAGUAAGAGAGGAGAAAGAGAAUGAGAAGAAUAAUGUGAAAGUAGGAAUGGAUGAAGACAAGAGGCUGAAAGCAAUUCAUAAAGCAUGCUGCAAUACACAAUUCUUAACACACGCUGCAAUGCCCUGGGCUAAAUAAAGACUGCACAGUGAUGCUAGGAUGCUGAUAUCUAGUACUGCUGGUAUAGGACCUUCACAUUUUAGAUCUUGUGGUCAUAGGUGUUGGUGGAGUGGGCUUGAGUGUGCAGUGUAGGGUUGAACAAGAGAAGGUGAAAAAUCCAAGAGUCCAAAACAACGCAGUGUGACUCAGGUCCUCACUGGCUGGACAGGGAUAGCUUAAGCUCUGUGCCCUGCACUUCUCAGGAGAUGUCAGCCCCGGGUCCCUGCAGGACUAAAAGCCUCCAUGGCCACGCUUGGCUAAGCAAGCAGACAUUUAAGGGUUUAACUGAAGUGGAUCUGUAAUCUUUCAGUAUUUUAUAAUACAGUAUGUUACAGGAGACCAUAAAUUAGAGCUUAUAAUACCCGAUCCGCUCAGCUACUGACAGAAUAUCUAAGGUAAUCUGACCUGCUUCACAGACCGUGAGAAAAAUCCUCAUGGAAAGUGAAAGAGAUGAAUUACAGAAUUUUACAGAGAAGUGGGAGAAUUUCUCUCGGCUCAGAUCUUGGGUUAAUUCCCAUGUAAGGUGAAAGAAUGUUUCACCACGUUUUGCUCAACUGAAGUUGGCAAGCUUUAAUAGAUGCAGCCCUGCAGGCUGAGGGAUAAACUCUGCUCCCUUUCACUCAUUUGAGCCAUUGCCCAUGUGAUCAACAAUGUGGGUCAUAAUAAAGGGAAGGAAAUAAGGGAUGAGAUCUCCGAGAGAAAGCAAACGAUGGGACGAAAUGCUGCAAAAUGUCAGAAAAGGUGUUUUUUUUUCUCAUUAGGAAGAAGGAUACAUCCCGGUGCUCUACAUCCACAAUAAGGAAAGCAUUUCCUUUCUGCUCAGAGCUGUUGUUCUUCCCUGUCACAAGCAGAGACUAAAUGCAGUCUCAUAAUUACAGCAUGCUGAAGCUGGAAGCUUUUCCUAUGGAUCUGCAACUCUUUUUUUUUUCCCCCUCCUGGUAAUAGCUGAUCUAUAGAACGUAUCUGUGAUCGUUUCAAAUGGAAGCUAGCAGUUACUUUCUGUUUUCUGCUUUAAGUCUUUAUGUUCAAGAAAUGUGUCUCCAGAGAUGCCUCCUUCUCUCACCUCUUCCCAUAACAGUGAGAGGUGCCAGCAGCUCCUCUGCCACUUUUCUAACUAUUUCCAUUCCCCUUCUAGGUACUUCUAUUUCAUACUUGCUCUCACAGUCAAUUCCUGCAAGGACUAAAAUGUGGGUCUUGGUCAUGUUACGUUGGAUACUGAUCUCUGAGCCAGGUCAGGUGUCUGCAGGCAGGAAAAUAUUUGGUUUUCUGCCUUCAUUCCUUUGUGUCACACCUUUACUUCAAGGUGUCCAAAGGAAAUGAAAUUUUCCAGAAAAACAGCCCGAAGAAAAUCUGCAGAGUUUCUCACUUGUGAGUAUGUCUGUGUGAUCCAGGCCUUCUGUGAGGUUUCUAGAUGAGGCAGUGGUAAGAUGAAUGGGGACCUCUGUGUUAUCUGUGAUGUGGCUGAAAGCAUACAGCUUCUGAAGCCUUUUGAGGAACUCAGAUGGAAGACGUUACACAAAUCCAAGGCGUGCAUUUUUUAAUACCUCCUGUGAUUUAUUAGAUAACUGUGUCAUCUUUACCUUCUAACUUCUUUGUCUUGGGUUUCUUUUCAAGAAUUAACCAGGAUCUGAUGAAUUUACGGGAAAUUUUCCAGUGCUGACCAGGAGAUCUAAGAUCUUGAUAUCUCCAUGUACUUUCUCAAGGUACCAGUAGUCCCAUUUCCUCAACCAGUAGUACAGUCCUUGUUAUUCUCAGACAUAAUUGUGUUGAAACUGCCAAGUGUUCUUUCCACCUCUUUAAUUUUGUUCUCAGAAGAAAUCCUUCACUUCUUUGUAUGCAGAGGCUGCUGUGGUCUGGAUCUCAUCUCGUCUUCUAGUAACAUCUUCCAGAUUUGUUUUAAACUGAUUAGACGCUGCUGAAGAAUCAGCUCUCUCCCCCGGACAGUACAAAGCAGAGCGCUGGCAGAGCUGGCUCCUGGCCAUCAGCUAUGUGGUGACAUAGCGUCGCAUCACUUGACAGCCCCACUUUCAUUUGGGGAGUUCUGAAACGUUCACAUGCGAUGAAAAACUAAAAUAAAAUAAUACACAAGGUGACAGGAGGGUGCAAUUAAAAAAGAAGCACCAGCUUGACCAGAGAGUGGCUUUAAUUGGAGGUCUUCUUCCAUAUGCUGGAACACAGACUCUGAAAGGUAUUUCUGUCCCUCUAAUGUGGCUGCAUUUCUGCCUCUGAAUUUUGAUUUUGAAAAACAGAAAAUGAUGUUUUUUAUUGGGCCACUGAGAGAAAUUACAGGGAAUGAGCUGCAUGAAUUUAAAAUUCUCUCAGUAGGGUAUGAAGGCAGGGAAAUACUUGUCCCUCCAUAGCCCAGUAACUUCCAGUGCAGGUUAGGGACACUCAUUCCCAGCGCCCACCUAUGCACAGGGGUUCAUGUAAGUGAGGAUCACAUGUGUUGUCACCACCUCGCUUCUCUGCUGGAUGGAUAUCACCCUCACUUUAAACAUGAGGAGGAAAUUCAGAAGGUCACAACAUCAAAUACUGAUUCUGAAAUUCAUUUCUCCCUAAAGAUUAAUGAAGCCCAAAAUGAAAUACAUUGAAAUUAAGCAAAGUUAGCUGCAGUAUUUGAGUCUUCCCAUCACAGUGUCCUAAGAGGUAUCCUGUGGUUUGACACAUAAUUAAUAUGUUUAUCUAUCUUUGCUUUCUUUCAUUCUUUGUUUUCAAUAACAGCCAUCACCAUAAUAGUCAAAUAUAAACAUUCCAUCCUGUUUCAUAAAGAGCCUACGGUCCAUUUUAUUGCAACACAGUUACUUUCCCAGAUCCCACAAGUGAAAAGGCGUGAUGCUUGAAAAAAUUCUCUGAAAUUUUCUCACCGUUUUUGCUUGAAGCAAGUUGCAUCAUGUUUACAAACUUGGGAAAAUGGGCCUCUUUUGCCUACUUUGAGUGUCAUGGGAACACAUACCGAGAUCUGAUCCAGUAGAGCUGUGUGGUGCUGCUAGGAGCUUCUCAGGGUCCCAUUAUUUGCUCCCAAGGGUGUUCCAGGAUGCGGUGUAAAGUUGCACUCUGUUUGCCAUGCCCAAGGUCCCAGACACAUGGGGAAUCACACUGGCUCCAGUACCAAGAGCUGAUCAUUUUUCAGACACACACAGUCAUAACUUUUGUUAUUUAUUCACACUGAAACAUUAUGAUGUCCUCAUUACUCUAAAUUGUUUCGUUUUCAACUUACAGUAUGUUCAUGGAAUAUUUGGAGGAAUUAUUGGCUUUGGCUUAUGUUAUCUGUGACUCACUUUUUAUAGACUUGACAGGACAGGUAAUUUCCACGGCAUUGUUUUUGGCUCCUUAACUGGAUCCCAUCCAAGUUUACAAAGUGCUUCUACAGAGAUAAUGGAGAACAUUCCAGCCUCCUGUGAAAUGUCAGCUCUGUAUCCAGUGCUAGAUGUGCAGUGAUAACCUGGUUAAAGCUGCUGGACUCUGUGAUUUCUUGCUUGGAAGUACCAAACACCCUAAAGAUACCAUGUCAAAUCUGCCAAAAGCAGGAAAGAAAAAGCAAAUGGGAGACACAGAGCAAGAGAGAAAAGUAGAUGCAAUGCUAUUACUUUACACCAAAGAACAGUAAGUUAAUUGAUGUCCAUAAUAAACUUUCAGUAGAAAAGUAUUAAAUAUUUUUGAAGACAUGUGUAAAUCCAGUAUUGAAAAAAAAAAGAAAAAAAGUUACUGUUAUCUGGGUUUAAUCAGCUGAGAAAAGCAUGAUGAUAAAUAAGAUUUAGUGGAAGCAUAAAUUGAAAAUGGCGAAUAAUACUUUUAAAAAGGGGGCCUACUGGAAUACGUAUGUCUCUAUGUCCCUGAGGUAUUUGAUUUGGAAUAUGUAAUCAUCUCCUUUGAGGAUAUUUAUGAAAGUUAUUUCUGAAUGUUCAGAGGUUUCUCUGCUUUUCAUUAUCUAUUUUUCUUAACAAGGGCCAGAACUGUAUGCCUGAUUUUCUGUGAUAUAUUCACUUGGGAGGUUUUCUCAUACUGGCCAAGGACACAUCGUUUACAAGAAGGUCCUGUCAAGCAUCCAAAUGUCUCUGCUGAAGCUUCCAUUUUAGAUGACCCCACAGAAUGUGAGAAAACCUUCUUUUAGGGGAAUGGCAUCUUCUGGCCAGAGCUGUGUCCAGAAAGUCUGAUGUGCUUAACCUACGGCUGAAAUGCCCAAUGCAAAUUCAUGGUAGGGAAAGGAAUGAAGUAUCUGUGUUUUCUCAAGAAAGGAAACUCAAACCCUUGGGAUGAUAUUUUCCGCAUGAAGAACUACCUUCAUUGCAAUUUGGAUUUCUGAGAAGGUCAUUUGGACUUUUGGGCCCUGUGUUCUGGAGAAAUCUGAAGAAUUUGGGUCAUCUUGACUUAAAAAUAACUUCUGUUAAUGCAAUUUGGAAAGCAUAUUUCUUUGAAUAUGAUCUUCCAUUUGCGAAGGGGGCAAAGUUUACAAUUUUGGGUGGAAACCAUGUGAAAGCUAGCGGUUCCAUCAGGGUUUUGUUUUGAAAUUUUUGGAUUUGUUCAAACUCAAAAGUCAAAGUGAAACUCGAGGGAUGUGAACCCGCUUGAAUCAAAACCAAAAAAGUGAUGCGCCAGAUCUCCCAUGAACCAAAACCACUGGGUUCUCACAGUUCUCAUCCAAACAAAAAUGCACUAAUAUAAAUCAAAUACCGAACCAAAUAUCCUCUUUUGCUCCGUCUGGCUUUCAUGGAAAUAACACAGAAUAUUUAAAAGGUCUGCUCAGUUUUGCAGCAGCAACUACCAAAACAUCCUGAGAUCAUUUGAUAUCUGGCAGUUAAUAUCCUGAUCUAUUCUCUUUAGUCAGUAAUCCAAUCCUUUCCGACCAACACUGCCUUGGCGUGCACAGCAUAACCCCUUAACAUCUUCCUCGAUUGUACAAUUUCACAGGGAAGACUCCGUGCACAAUUCACAGUCCUUCUCCUUCUCAUUCUUGCUCAAAGAGCCAAGGAAGGAGUUGGAGCUGAAAGCAGAUGAGAAGUCCAAGCAGUACGAUCAGUAUGGAAGCAGGACCCUUAGCAGCUAUAGGACAAGUUGGAGUACUAAGAAAAUAUUUAAUGAUAAUUUUCUCUGUGAUUUACCUUGUUUGAGACCAUACUACGACUCUGAAAUGAGAGAAUUUUAAAAAAAAAAAAAAAGAUGUUUUGCAGUACAUCAUGUAGCAAACAGUUUCUAAAGCCAUAAAAAAAGUGCUGGUCAUGGAAGAACAGCAAAGGUUUCCUUUGUAACUAAGACACGCUUGUUUGUAAUAACAUGUGCUUUCAAACAUUGCCAAGUUGCUGAGGAUAUCUCUGUUAUAUACAAUCCUGAAAAAUGUAAGUGUUAAAAAAAACAAGGUAAUGUAAAAAAAAAAAAAAAAGCUAAAAAAAGAAAAAGUUUGAUCAGAUGGUUAAAAUCCAGUCAAACCUAAGACAACCUGUUUAUGACCUUUCCAAGCUAAAAGCUAGAAAUGUCAUUUUUUUUUUUUCCACAAGAUUAAUUACCAUCACUCUGGGAGUAGUGAGCUGGACAUUAUUAUAUGAUGUCAAUUAAUGAUUAAAAAAAAGGUGGUUUGCAAAUGUAGCACCACAGUCCCUGGUGCAUUACAUCAUUUCUGAAAGAUCUUAACACGUGAUAAGCAGAGAACAUUUUAACCUAAAAGUCUGAGUGUUACAACCUCCUUUUUUGUUGUAACACCCUACCCACAACCUUUUGGCCUUGAAGUCACUUGCAAUAAAAUUAAGAAGUCAAAAAGAAAAAGGAAAAAAAAAAAAAAAAAACCUCUGGGAAAGACAAGACACGCUCCUGUUUUGCUGUCGAGCAGAUAAUGCAACAAAAUGAGCCGCUAUACGCAUUGGAAAACACGGUGCUGAUCUUCGUAUGUGCACUGUUCUCAGCAAGACUCGUCAUCAAAAUCUCACGCUUGGAGUCGUAAGGUUGCUGUGAUUCAGGUAUUAUAAACUAUAUAAUGCAGUUAUCUCUGUGAGAGCGCCUCGAAAAUUUCAUGUGCUGAGUGAAAUUACUCCUGCACUUGCCUAGGCGCUGCUUUCCCAGAUGGGGUGACAAUGAUCAUUUUAUGUGCCUUAUUGAAUUCACUGAAAUAUUUAGAAGGGUUUCUACCUAUAUUUUACAUCUCCUUCUGUUAUAACCUUUUUUGCAGCAACAGUUUGAUUUCUUCGUCAAUAGUAUACAUAACCUGAUCCAUUCUUCUCUGAGCUCUUCUCUUUUAGUGUCAAAACACUGUAGAUGUUCCUUUGUAAAUGAACGAUACGCAUUUAAAAUACCUUUGUAAUAAUAAAUACCACACGAACAUAUGCAUCAAGGAAAGGAUUUCAAUUUUGAUGACACUUGCUUCUCAAGAACAGACAUUCUGGAAGGAAAAAACACUGCCAGCCCCAAAUUGAUUGACAUUUGUUUACUUAACUCUCUCUUCUUGAAAGUCUGCACACCUAUUUCAACCUUGAACAGUUUCCAACUGUGGUAUACUGGAACAUUUUUUCAUUUAUUAAGUUCAGUGUUGCCAACCCAAACAAAGAGUAAUCAGUGAUGAUCCAAGCAGACCAAGCUGUCUAGCACCAUACAAUGUAUCUGCAUGCUAAUUUUCAAAUUCCCUCACAUUUCCAGAGAACUAAUGGGAUCAUUUUCAUUCUGUUACAGCAACUCAACAGUUACUGAAUCACCAUCUGUGUUUUCGUUAACCUGAAUCAGAUAUGAAUUCUGUUAUUGCAAGGUAGAGCAGCUUGUUUAAUGAUUCUUAAUCUUUUCUUUAAUUAAAUCAUGCAGCCAACCUGAAAAAUCUAUCUUAAUGCAAAUUAGGAGCUUUUUUGGCAUUCACUUACAGUAAUGCACUAAUAAGGUUAAUUUAUGAAGGUUCUCUUCCAGUCUGUACAGAUGAUAUUUGUUCGCUGCAUAUUUUUAGCAUAUUGUCCCUUUUUCUAAUAUUUAAAAAAAUAUCACUCAUAAAAAAAAAAAUGGGUUGUUUUCACUCACACAAAAGAGGAAGGCUGCGAGCUGCUUUUUGUUUAAUAGAAAGAGCACGGAAAAGGAAAAUCGGUUUCUCCCGUCCAUGAGCAUCUCUCCACGCGGGUGCAGAGGCACAAAUCGAGGACUGCUGGGUUAAAUGGCUUUGGAUGAGCACUCUCCACUUCUCGCUGGAGAAAUUCGGGCCCCGGUUCAGAUGAGCAUCUUGAAGUUAUCAAGGGAGACAGAGAGUUUCUCCUCUCUUUUUUUUUUUUUUUUCCUUGUAGGUGUGAAUGAAUAGUAUAAAGAGUAAAUAAUUCUUGUGAAAUAAGCCCGAAUACUUUUCUCAGUUGCACAAUUGCUUCAGCUUGGGGCUCUGAUGAUCUCAGUCAAGAAAAUUUCUGUCUUUGCGAGCAUUCCUCCCAACUACAAAAUUAGUUGAAAUCUGUUCAAGUUGCUGAGUAAAGAGUAAACUUUUUUUUUUUUUUUUUAAGGUUAUUUUUCAACACCCACAAGCAAACGGGGACGGCGACUGCGAAUUUCAACACACGGCCGUUGCUAUUUAAUUAAAAUCACUGAGGCUGGCUGAAAAACUUUUCAGCAGAGUGAUUUCACAUCAGAGAAUGCCGAUUCUCAAAAUCGGAAUGUUCUUUUCAUAGAAAUCCCUCCGUUUCCACCAGGAAUGAGAUUUCAGUUCUAGGAAAGGACUUCUCAUCCCAGCUAGGAACGGUAAACGAUCACACCCCUUUUGCAGCAGGACUGCCCAACCACGGCAGCAAGGGCACCUCUUUCCUCCCCUGCCCAUAUUUCCAGCUGUAAUUGCUCCAUGUCUGACUGCAUUAACUAUGUGCACAGCCCAGGACAGGAGCUCUUGCCCAUAUCUCCACGGCUGUGACUCUCUGUGUUUCAUUAAAGGUAACGGCAGGACAGAAAGGCUGCAGGAUGGUUGAAACCUUCCUCUAGUUCCCCGCAGCCAGGGAGUGGAAACAAUAUCUCACACUAUUUGUGCAGUGAUUCCUGGCUUGUUAAUAUUCUGGCGUGGCUGUUUUUCUCUGCCGUGAGGAGCUUCACUUUGGCCACUUAGCAUGGGGUUUUGCCUCUGUGUAAGUGGGAAUGCUGCUCUUCCUUUUCCCCUCUUCAAUUUGGAAAGCUGUUUUCCUGCCAUUGCUAGUCCUUUCUGUGUAAUAUUAGCACAGAGAGAAUGAAAAGUAACUGCUUUCCUUCCCAUUCAAUUGUACUUAUGUAGUCUUAAGUAUAUUAUAUGCUUCGCUUCCUGCUUCAUCCACUAGUAAAAUGUGUCGAUACAUGAAUAUUAGGAUAAGAUUGCUUUAAUUAGAACCUACUGCCCUGCACACUAUCUUCUCUAAAAACUACCUGUAUUAAGAUCUGGGGAAAAUAAGUCUUAAAGAAAAUUUCUAAUAACAAAUUUUUGGACUUCACCCCCCACGUUCUGCUCCCCAACCCUUUCAACUUUUCAAGGAUACUUAAAAACACAUGACUCACCCUGUUGCUUCAUUAUAUUUUAUGGUGAUCUUUAAUAUCUUUUCUUUUUUUGGGGGGGGGCAAGAGGGAGGAGCAGGGCUAGCUUGCUCUCCAUUUUCAUUUCUUGGUUUAUCUUUCAUGAAGUGGAAAACAUCGAAUGGAUGGGAUAAUACUUGAUGCUUACUGUUUUCCUUUCAUCGCAUUACAGCAUUUUCUCAGGUAUUAAAGUAGCACUGGUCUCAACUAAGAGGAGUGAUCAAACUAUCUACUAAUGAAGUUUCUCUGACAGGAACCCCAGGAACUGGAAACUGAACUUCAGAAUCAUGAAGAGCACUGCUGUAAGGCCACCAUGAGAAAAAUCUGGAUGAAGACAUGGACUGGAGACAUGUCUACCACACCGGAAGAAACUGAAAGAAUAUGAUCCCAUUUGACUCUAAAAAUCUUGCUAUGCUAAUUACCAGCUCACAAAGCAGAGAAAUUAAGGCAGAGAGGGCAUGUUCAUGAUGACAACCUUUACCCAUUAGCAAGCUUUGCAUUUUCCCAAGGCUGAAGACUAUUUAGCCCUGACAAAUCCAAUCAGUGAUAUGCAGGCGUAACCUCCAGAAAUAAGCUCACAUUUUUAGGAUCCACGGGGCAAAAGAUGGACUGCAGUAGGUCACUAUUAAAAUAUUUAACAUACAGCUUGGCCAGUGCUGAAAUGGCACAGUUGGCCUGAAGUCAUUUCAAGGUCUCCUGGCAUCUUUGUGUUUCCCCAAUGGCUUUGUGCAGUAAAGUGUUAAGUUCUCCUGAGUGGUUAUGUAUUUAAGGCAGCAACUUUAAAAUAAGGAAUUGCAACCUUAGAGCAAAGCUGCUAUUUUGAGAAUUUUAAACCAUUAUUGACUCCUGUCAGAUCAGUUUCUAGACUUAUUGACUCAAGAAGUAAAUAUAGACUGAGAGAAAGCGAGGUCAAGUCAAUAUUUAUCUUGCAGAUCAAUACAUUUUGAUACUAACCAAAAAUUAAGCUCAAUAAAUGCAUAUAUUAUAUACAGCAAGGUUAGGGGAGAUCCAUUCAGAAAAUUUGUCAAUUUGAAAUUUCCCAACGGAAUCCAACCUUUUGAAUUCAAUUUCCAUUAGAAAUUCUGUCCCUUUAAGGUUGCUUAAGUGACUGAUCACGAGCCCCCAUCACCCAAUCAGGUUUCCAAAUGAUAGCUGAGAAGCAGUGGAAGGAAAAGGGAAGAAAGAUGAAGUGAGAAAAAGUUGGUCGCAGGAGCUCGAUUACGGUGUUAGGAGGAGGCAGACUCAGCAGUGAUUGAAAUAACUAAAAUGAGAAAAAGAAAAUUGUUGGUUUUAUUAGAGCGGGUUUCAAGGUCUGUCUGUUUGUGCACAGUCCAGAUCUCAGACAGCUCAGCUCAGGGUUUGUACUAUCAGGAGAACGGAAGAGCUGGCAAGCUGAGACACUACCAGUACUUUGUGGAAACCGACAUAUGAAUUUGUUCUACAAAUGUGCCAGGGACACACUGAUCCAACAGUUAGAUCACUUCCAGAAGACACGGAGUUAGAUCUCUGAGUUCACUUCCAAUUGCUGACUACUACUAUCCAAUAAAAGAAAAUUUCUGCAUAAAGUAAACAAGGAAAGGCAGAAGAGGAAUGGCCAGAAGGUGCCCUGCUGGUUCUAGGAGCAAGGAAACAAGUUGGAAAAGUUUUGGCAUUUCAUCAGCAACUUCCCAGGUUGACAGCAAGACCCUCAUGACCCAGCAGUGAGUCCCAGUUCCCACCUGGGUGCCUCUGGAGAGUGACAAAUCUCUUGGAUGUGCUCUGACAUCCCAGAAGCACAGGCCAGGAACAUCUGUCUGCUCCUUCCCUUCCUUCAGACUGUCCCGAGGAGGAGGGAGGCAAGCAAGUAAGGAUAUGAAAGGCAAAGGCUCAACUGGCCGUGUUACAUUAGCCAACUCAAAUAAUUCCCCUUGGCUGCGGAAACAGCCUUCCCAUCCAAAGCUUUUUUUUUUUUUCCCCUUUA
Molecule: long non-coding RNA, 11910 nt
Organism: Numida meleagris (helmeted guineafowl)
Lineage: Eukaryota; Metazoa; Chordata; Aves; Galliformes; Numididae
Exons: 10
Source: RefSeq, a predicted model, not a curated record